RNAcentral lists this ribosomal RNA (200 nucleotides) under uncultured bacterium. Its description in RNAcentral is "partial 16S ribosomal RNA". It matches the Rfam family "Bacterial small subunit ribosomal RNA", at positions 29 to 258 of the family's 1533-position model. The record is from RNAcentral.
AACGAACGCUGGCGGCAGGCUUAACACAUGCAAGUCGAACGCCCCGCAAGGGGAGUGGCAGACGGGUGAGUAACGCGUGGGAAUCUACCUAGCUCUUCGGAAUAGCUCCGGGAAACUGGAAUUAAUACCGAGUACGCCCUACGGGGGAAAGAUUUAUCGGAGUUAGAUGAGCCCGCGUUGGAUUAGCUAGUUGGUGGGGU